Cotesia glomerata is the source of this 197-nucleotide long non-coding RNA. RefSeq lists it as uncharacterized. NCBI's taxonomy places the organism in Eukaryota, Metazoa, Arthropoda, Insecta, Hymenoptera, Braconidae. The record is from RefSeq and is a predicted model, not a curated record. The transcript has 2 exons.
AAUAUAUAAAAGUUGGUUAAGCCGACGAUUAUCCUGAUUUUACGCCGUUUCUUCGAUAUUGAAAGAUAAGCCAAUUAACAGAUACCAUUGAAGAAGUAAGCGUCAAUUUUUUUUGAGGCGUGUGUCUUCAAACCACUAUAACUUUAAUUCUACUGAAUGUUUUUAGCUAAAAAUUUAACUGUAUACUCUUGAAAUAU